Molecule: ribosomal RNA, 626 nt
Filed under: uncultured fungus
Lineage: Eukaryota; Fungi
Description: eukaryotic LSU rRNA
Rfam family: Eukaryotic large subunit ribosomal RNA
Source: RNAcentral
CCCGCUGAACUUAAGCAUAUCAAUAAGCGGAGGAAAAGAAACCAACAGGGAUUGCCUUAGUAACGGCGAGUGAAGCGGCAAAAGCUCAAAUUUGAAAUCUGGCAGUAAUGUCCGAGUUGUAAUUUGAAGAAGGUAACUUUGGUGAUAGCUCUUGCAUAUGUUCCUUGGAACAGGACGUCAUAGAGGGAGAGAAUCCCGUAUAUGGUGAGAUGACAUAUUACUAUGUUAAGUGACUUCGAAGAGACGAGUUGAGUGGGAAUGCAGCUCUGAGUGGGAGGUAAAUUCCAUCUCAAGCUAAGUAUUGUCGAGAGACCAAUAGCGAACAAGUACAGUGCUGGAAAGAUGAGAAGAACUUUGAUAAGAGAGUGAAAAAGUACGUGAAAUUGUAGAGAGGGAAGGGCUUGAAAUCAGACUUGGCAUGCAAUGAUCAAUUCUCUCUCGGGUAGAUGCGCUCGUCGUCUACUGCGACAACAUCGAUUUAGACGGGCAGAUAGUGACAGAUGAAUGUAGAUGUGCUUCCGUAAGCGUUAUAGCUUCUGUCUGAUAUCAUCAGCUUGGAUCGAGGACUGCGCAUCUCUGCUAGGAUGUUGGCGUAAUGAUUUUAAGCCACCACGCUUGAAACAAUG